This 390-nucleotide ribosomal RNA is filed under the name uncultured bacterium. Its description in RNAcentral is "bacterial SSU rRNA". It matches the Rfam family "Bacterial small subunit ribosomal RNA", at positions 524 to 916 of the family's 1533-position model. The record is from RNAcentral.
UACGAAGGUGGCAAGCGUUGUUCGGAUUUACUGGGCGUACAGGGAGCGUAGGCGGUUGGGUAAGCCCUCCGUGAAAUCUCCGGGCCUAACCCGGAAAGUGCGGAGGGGACUGCUCGGCUAGAGGAUGGGAGAGGAGCGCGGAAUUCCCGGUGUAGCGGUGAAAUGCGUAGAGAUCGGGAGGAAGGCCGGUGGCGAAGGCGGCGCUCUGGAACAUUUCUGACGCUGAGGCUCGAAAGCGUGGGGAGCAAACAGGAUUAGAUACCCUGGUAGUCCACGCCUUAAACGAUGGAUACUAAGUGUCGGCGGGUUACCGCCGGUGCCGCAGCUAACGCAUUAAGUUCGCCGCCUGGGGAGUACGGUCGCAAGACUGAAACUUAAAUGAAUUGACGG